Molecule: long non-coding RNA, 580 nt
Organism: Marmota monax (woodchuck)
Lineage: Eukaryota; Metazoa; Chordata; Mammalia; Rodentia; Sciuridae
Exons: 3
Source: RefSeq, a predicted model, not a curated record
ACUCUUCAGGACUUCAAAGAAAAGUGAUCUACCCCUUGGUGACAGCCUGCAAGGAAAUGGGCUGACUGAAGGGCUGUAUUCGAGAAAUGGCUGUGUGGGACCAGGACCUGACCACCACUCACUCCUCAUCAGCCACACAGACUGAGCAUGAUUGCUUCCUGGGAAGGUGGCAAAAGAUGCCAUUGAGGGAAGUGUGCUAUGUCUGGAACAGAAAAAAGGCUUGAGGACCCCUAACCUAACUGAGAUGAAAAGGAAGGAGUCUCCUCUGACCAGAGCAGGUCAUUAAUGACACAAGCACAGGACCUUGAGUGCUGAAUAGAAGUCCCUGGGAACAGGAGUCUGCACAAAGGACUUCUAUUUACUGAAAAAGAUCACUCAAGAAGAUGGAUUUCAAAGAUGAAAGUGAGUCUAGGAUUAAAUGCAGCUGGAGGAGACAAUCUAUCUGCCUACAACUAGAAGUGCCUCCUCCCCCUGAGGCCCCUUAGUCUUCCAUCUUCCCUAUCUUGUGAAACAAAACAUAGUUUAUUUCAGUGAAAUCUCUAUAGGCUUGCAAUAAACUCUGUCUAUAUCUUUGCUCUAA